GUUUUAAUAAUUUAAUUAAAAUAUUGGUCUUGUAAACCAAAAAUAAGAAAUGUAAUCUUUUAAAACU
RNAcentral lists this transfer RNA (67 nucleotides) under Eurycotis opaca. RNAcentral's name for it is "tRNA-Thr". It matches the Rfam family "tRNA". Rfam says of the family: Transfer RNA (tRNA) molecules are approximately 80 nucleotides in length. Their secondary structure includes four short double-helical elements and three loops (D, anti-codon, and T loops). The record is from RNAcentral. Lineage: Eukaryota; Metazoa; Arthropoda; Insecta; Blattodea; Blattidae.